This 2423-nucleotide long non-coding RNA is filed under the name Homo sapiens (human). RNAcentral describes it as "HSALNT0170927". The record is from RNAcentral. Lineage: Eukaryota; Metazoa; Chordata; Mammalia; Primates; Hominidae.
AAAAACAAUGGUGUGUUGUUUGAAAACCAGCUGCUUCAAAUUGGACUUAAGUCUGAAUUUCGGCAGAAUUUAGGUCGGAUGUUUAUCUUUUAUGGUAAUAAGACCUCCACGCAGUUCCUAAACUUUACCCCAACACUAAUCUGUUCAGACGACCUUCAGCCUAAUAUCCUUGGCUUCAUUGCCCCAUGCCCGCAGACAGCAUAAUGUGGGGCUUAGAGGAGGCUUUUGAGGAAGUUUUUUGGUUUUCUUAUUUUGUUAAAAUAGCGAGAUAAUUCCAGAUGCUAUAUGAAAAUCAGGCAGUCGUAAUCUGCCUAUGGUGCUGGGCAGGAGAAGGAAAACAGGCAGUCUUCCAUAUUGGAGAGCCAGCUUUUGAUCAUGCACCUAAAAAUACCGUGUACAUGCCUCCUCCCCUUCCAUCUGGCCAGUGUGAGUCCCUUUCCUUUUCACCUGCUCUUACUCUCCUGUGACGUGAUCUUUAAACCCCUCCUCUCCGAAGCCUCACAGAGCUGCUGCUUGCAGAGUGUGGGAGGCGCCAGUGGGGACUGGAGCGCGGUGCGCACCCCAGCCGAGCUUGUGUGUGCUUCUGGCAGAGCUUUUAGACUGAAGAUUUUCCCUUCGUAAUGCCAGAAGCGUUCCUAGAACUUCCCCAGCUAAAACAGGGAGACGCUAACGUCUCUACCUCUAAGGAUAGGCCCGCCAAAUAGAGUUAGCGUGAAGACCCCAGCUUGACCAGAGAUGGUGACACCUGGGGAUUUAUGGUCAGCGACCUGAGUGAAGCAACAUCCUCCUUGCCACUGGCUGGUCUGUUCAUUUUAACAUGAACAUGUUUUAAUGCAGACUGUUCAAGCUGUUUCAAAACAGUCAUUAAAAAUACACAUGCAGGAGCACCUGUAUUAAAGACUUUGUUUGGAAUCUGGAGUGGAAGCUCUGACUCCUACUGCGCCCUUCUUUAGGGGUCUCUCCCUCGGGGUCCACUUGGCUCGAGGCGGCAGCGAGCCCAGCAGCUGAGUGGCCGGCGGCACACGACCCAGAGGGAAGGAGAGGCCUGCACCCCGCUGCCUCCUGGACCCAGCUUUGCUGCUGUCACUGUUUCUUCAGGAGAGGCUGUAGGCAAACCCUUGUUUUCCAGCAUGAAAACAACCCUGGUCCCAGCAGGGCAGGCUCUUUUCUGUGUCUCGCUGUUUCAGGAGCCUGCUAUUCCUGGGAUUCUUAAAGUUUUCCUGCCCUACUAAGCACCAGUUUCUGCUAACGGUGACAAAAAUUGUGUGUGUAAGACCCAGAGCCGAGGCUCAGAGUGAAAACAGACAAGUAGUAUAUAAUCUAAGUGACUUUUUAAAAUGGAGGAGCCAUUCUGGAAGCGUGAGAAGCAGACAGUGUUUUGAGGAUUGUCUGGGUGGAAGGGCAGGGCCGGGUGGUGUGGCUGCCCUCGACCCGUAGCUGGUGGUCCUAGAGUGUGGUGAGUGUGCUCGCCUCCACGGGUCCUGCUGGGGCUCUAGCCCGGCCCGUUUCCGCUUCUGCCACUGGGACUUGCUCAGCUGGAUUCCUUAACGCACGCACACCUGAACCUGCAGACCAAGCCCGUGGACCCGACCGUGGAGGGGGGCGCGCAGGUGCAGCAGGUGGUCAACAUAGAGUGCGUGUCCGACUUCACGGAGGCGCCAGUCCUCAACAUUCAGUUCAGGUAUGGGGGCACCUUCCAGAACGUGUCUGUGCAGCUGCCCAUCACUCUCAACAAAUUCUUCCAGCCGACAGAAAUGGCUUCUCAGGAUUUCUUUCAACGUUGGAAGCAGUUGAGCAAUCCACAGCAGGAAGUGCAGAACAUCUUCAAAGCAAAGCACCCAAUGGACACAGAAGUCACCAAAGCCAAGAUCAUUGGAUUUGGUUCUGCACUUCUUGAAGAAGUUGAUCCUAAUCCUGCGAAUUUCGUGGGAGCUGGAAUCAUCCACACGAAAACCACCCAGAUUGGAUGCCUGCUGCGCUUGGAGCCGAACCUGCAAGCCCAGGUCAGGCCCUCAGGAAAUGGUGGAACACACUUGAGUUGCUUUUUAUUCUGGCACAAUGUACGUGGUGAGAUGUGUAGCUCUUUAGUGCAGUUCAGUCAGUUUUGACAGAUGUUGUUUAACCACCACCCUGUCAAUACAUGGUUGCCUCCCAGCCUCCCCGCAGCUGGCCACCGUGGAGCAUCAUCCCUAGUGCAGUUCAGUCAGUUGUGACAGAUGUUGUGUGCCUGUUUAACCACCACCCUGUCAAUACAUGGUUGCAUCCCAGCCUCCCCACAGCUGGCCACCGUGGAGCAUCGUCCCACCAUGGAGCAGCCUGGCCCUGGGCGGUGGCUCUCCCAGCUGUUCCUCUCUGUCACCGCGUUGUUCCUUCUCACCACGUCCCGUUCUGGCGACGGACACCUGUCUCCGUUUCACUUGGGU